RNAcentral lists this long non-coding RNA (1366 nucleotides) under Gossypium barbadense (sea-island cotton). Its description in RNAcentral is "long non-coding RNA (GBAR_LNC004137)". The record is from RNAcentral. Lineage: Eukaryota; Viridiplantae; Streptophyta; Magnoliopsida; Malvales; Malvaceae.
UUAAUAUUAUUUGUACGAAAAACUCGUGUAAUCAUAUCUUGUAUUAGUUUAUAUAACAAAUUAUGAGUAUAAAAUUUGAUACUUUCAUUUGUUAACACGAAAGAAUGUUCAAGCAAAAAAGAAAUGCAUAAGGGUAAACUUAAAAAUUCAAUUAAGUGUAGAGCCUCAAAUUUGCCCGGUCCAACAAAUUAAAAUCAAACCUAAAUCUUACCAAUUCACAAGCCCAAAUCAAACCAGACACUACCCCAGCCCAAAAUUUUACAAGCCCAUAAUUCUAAAAGAAUAGCAGAAAUAAAAAAAAAAAAACCUAGCAGCAGUGUGCGCCGCUCCCCACAUGCCUGGUCAGCGCCUCCAACGCCCAAGGCUCGGCGCCCCAUCCCAUCGCCCGUACCACCAAACCCUGUGACACCUACAAAACCAAAGCAACAAGCAAGAAAAGGCAGACAACAGCAAAGCAAAAAAUAUGGUAUUGGCCAUUUUUUUUCGGUUAAAAGAGAAAAGAGGGAACCGAUUGUAGGGGAAGCGGUUUUUUUAAUACAAAAAGAUUGUAUUACACGGAACAUAUUUUAGAGAAAUCAAAAGCAGAAAACAAGUUGAAAAGGUUUGCUUUUAUUUUAUUUUAUUUUUUUUGUUUUUCCCUUUUUUUUUCUUUUUUAUUUGUUUUACAAAUCUUUUUACAAAGAAAAGCAUAAUAAAAAAGGGAACUCACUCGAAGCCUCCCGCGGUCGCGACGUCGGUGAACCUUUCUCCAUCGUCGGAAUCGGGCCCAAAAGGGAGCCGAGAGACUCCUCUCUUCGGCGUCUCUGCGUUUUGGUCGUGUGGCCUUCAAGGGGUGUCCAAAACGGGGUUAAAAAUGCCCAUUUGCGCGACGCCGGUCACCGGUCACGGUGGUGGUGCGACGACGGCGAGGAUGGGUUUCUUUUGAAACCCUAGUAGAGAAUAAAUGGGAAAAGGAAUGGGUGUUUUCGGAUUUUUUUUAAGAGAAGGAAGCAAAAAUGAAAAAAAUAUUUCGUUUAAAUACAGGGGUGAAAUGGUGCCGUUUUGCACCAGGGUCACCAGCGCCUAAACGGUGCCGUUUGGGGCUCACCAGACGCGACCCGACCCGCUUCCUCAGGAUCCGCGCGUUUCCAACUUUCGGGUUAUUUACCCUUUUGGUCCUUCCGCAUUUUUGAAAUCUUAAAUUCUAUUUUUUAUUCUUUAAUUUUAUUGCUGUUUUACUUCAGUCCUCGUGGAGCUAUGCGUUUUGGGGGACGGGGAUAUUGCCCCAUUCGGUCCCCCAUCUCAUUCGCGUAUCACAAUUUGGGGCCCAAUAUUUUAUUUUCAUUACGUUUUGUUCCUUUUAAUUCAAUUUUAAUUUCAAUUCGGU